CUCUCUUUCUUUCUUUCUUUCUUUCUUUCCUUCUCUCUUUCUUUCUU
This 47-nucleotide non-coding RNA is filed under the name Palpitomonas bilix. The record is from RNAcentral.